CCUACGGGAGGCAGCAGUGAGGAAUAUUGGUCAAUGGUCGGGAGACUGAACCAGCCAAGCCGCGUGAGGGAGGAAGGUACAGAGUAUCGUAAACCUCUUUUGUCAGGGAACAAAGACUGGGACGCGUCCCCGGAUGAGUGUACCUGAAGAAAAAGCAUAGGCUAACUCCGUGCCAGCAGCCGCGGUAAUACGGGGGAUGCGAGCGUUAUCCGGAUUUAUGGGGUUAAAAGGGUGCGCAGGCGGUCUGUUAAGUCAGCGGUCAAAGCCCGGGGCUCAACCCCGGCCCGCCGUUGAAACUGGCAGUCUCGAGUUGGAGAGAAGGAUGCGGAAUGCGCGGUGUAGCGGUGAAAUGCAUAGAGAUCGCGCAGAACUCCGAUUGCGAAGGCAGCAUGCCGGCUCCACACUGACGCUGAGGCACGAAAGCGUGGGUAUCGAACAGGAUUAGAUACCCGUGUAGUC
Molecule: ribosomal RNA, 459 nt
Filed under: uncultured bacterium
Lineage: Bacteria
Description: partial 16S ribosomal RNA
Rfam family: Bacterial small subunit ribosomal RNA
Source: RNAcentral